This 582-nucleotide long non-coding RNA is filed under the name Oryctolagus cuniculus (rabbit). Its description in RNAcentral is "lncRNA (ENSOCUG00000036059.1)". The record is from RNAcentral. Lineage: Eukaryota; Metazoa; Chordata; Mammalia; Lagomorpha; Leporidae.
AUGCACUGCCCCCAGCUGUGGCACUCCUCGCACCCCUCCCCGCACAGCGCCACGUUGUGGGCCGGCGUUCAGGAUCUAAGUGGCUUCCAGGGCCGAAUCCCGCGGCUGCUGCUCGCAUGGCUUCGCCUUCAGCACCGCGGUAGAUGGGGCUCUUGCGCCCCAACCGGCUUGGGGGACAGAGGACGCGAGCUCUGGACUCCGGGAGCCGCGGCUGCCCGCGGGGUCCGCCUAACGGUCCGGGGCGAGCGGGCUCAGCGAACGGCAGCAGCAGACGCCCCCUCGCGGUCGGAAGCUGGUGGCGGGCGCUGGGCGCGGGACCUUUCCGUUAGGUGCGCGGGGAGUGCGGGUUGCGCUCGCGUGACUCCCGGGCACUCGAGCCUCUGCUGGCAUCCAGACCCCGAAAGCCGCCAUAGCACCUUUGAGUCUGCAGUGCCCACACCUGGCACCUGUCCCCGGCCCGCGCUGCCCCCUGGACCACGGGCGGAGCUGGCAAUCCUGGCCCAAGGAAUAUCCCGAGGAUUGGAGGAUGGUGUGGGAUCUUUGAGACUGGUAAUGGUGUACAUUACUGAGUGUGCUGCCUAG